This 83-nucleotide transfer RNA is filed under the name Neoakkermansia glycaniphila. RNAcentral describes it as "Akkermansia glycaniphila tRNA". It matches the Rfam family "tRNA". Rfam says of the family: Transfer RNA (tRNA) molecules are approximately 80 nucleotides in length. Lineage: Bacteria; Pseudomonadati; Verrucomicrobiota; Verrucomicrobiia; Verrucomicrobiales; Akkermansiaceae. The record is from Rfam by way of RNAcentral.
GCCUCUGUGGUGGAAUGGUAGACACAGCAGACUUAAAAUCUGCCGGCCGCAAAGCCGUACCGGUUCGAGUCCGGUUAGAGGCA